GAAAAAGCUCAGCGGUUGGAGCAUCUGCUUCGUAUGCAGAGGUCCCACGUUCAAGCCUCGGCAUCUCCA
Molecule: non-coding RNA, 69 nt
Organism: Podarcis lilfordi (Lilford's wall lizard)
Lineage: Eukaryota; Metazoa; Chordata; Lepidosauria; Squamata; Lacertidae
Source: the annotation of a GenBank genome assembly